UUUGCCGUGCAUUAAAGAUCCUCAAGGUGAGUGUUAUUUCGAUUAGAAUUCUAGGUCAAUUAGUCAUGAUGACAUUACUUUAGACUAGAGUCUCUGAUUGAUGGUUGAAGAUGAUCAUAAGUGCUGAUAGCAUUCCGAGUCUACCAUUUUUCACCUGUCCCGGAACCAUGCUGAUAAAUCUGACAUUUUUUGCAGCUUCUUCACACUCAAGGAAUCGUAUCCAUCAGUGCACGAUACUCGUCCAAGGCAUUCAACCAUUCGACUUCGACAGCCUUUGGCAUUUAAGAUCCUCGCAAGCAGAGGCAUUCAACCAUUCGACUUCGACAUCCUUUGGCAUUUAAGAUCCUCGCAAGCAGAGUAUCAUUGAAAAUCCUGGAUGAUUGGACGGACCUUAAUCAAAAUCAUUCUACGAAACUCGAGUGAUAGUUCUUCAGACUGGAAGGAAACAAGAUUGAUGGUACAUCGGACUCUUCGGAUCCUGGCAUAAUGACUGGUUCCAUGUGAUAUGAAUUCCACUAAAUAGAAAAGUGUUGAAAUUGAGUCCAGUUGCUGCCGUUAAAUUGAUCGACACUGAACACCAAAGAGAGGUUUCUCGGAUUUUUGCCGUCUAGUGGACUCCCCUUUUUCGAGCAAUUGUCACAACAUGAACCGCUCGCCCUCUUGGAAGCUAAUUCGGAACGAUGAAGAGGCAUUUUGAAUGAAGUAAUGCUGACCGGUGACUUAAAGCCCUUUAUUUUGGGAAGUUUUAAAUGGCCCAUCGGCAUGGUGACAUUACAUCCCCAUCAAAAGGAAAUUUAGAGGACAAGGUUCACAUUUGUCAAUUGGGAAGCUCUCCAGCAAACAGUGACGGAAAAUAUCCUAGGUUGGGUUAUUCUUCAGGAGAAAUAGAAAUUUGCGACCUGUGAAAAUAUCAAUGUGAACGGUGAGAAAGACUUCCGUUUUCAAGUCACUACUUGUUAGAUGAUGAAAAUCCGCGUGCGCAUUCCUGAGUACUCUGAUGUUUACGUGUCCAUUUCAGUGUAGCCCUGAUUUUUUUCAACCACUGACCUGUACGUUAACUUCAUUUUGACAAUUAUUUUAAAAAAACAGUAUCUCUAUUUCAGAGGAGUGUUCAAUCGUUUUGUUCCGCAAGUGCAUCCGAUCUCGUAAAUGUCUAGGUAAGAAAAGAAAUAUGUUUAGCGUAUCUGUGUCUUAGAGGGGCGGUUUCUUUUACCACCAUGCAACUGACUCCGAUUAAACACAGGAAAUCAAAUUCCAAAGUGCGUUAACCGUAUUGAGAAACUCUUACUAUGGCUUUCUCAACCCCGUAACGUUUCUUACAUUUCAUCAUGAUCCUAGAGUUGUUUCAAGUUCCAUGUUGACGACACUUUUUGACUUUAUUUUUCUUCUUCCAGCAUUCUGCCAUCCUUCUUGAAUAUCCCUCGUUAUGAAGGUAAGAAAUGGUAGACUAACACUUUGUUUCAGCCUCUUAUUUGCCAAGGUGUGAUCUUAAUCAUCUGAUCGCAACUUUUUUCCAUGGGGCUUAAAACAAUUUGAAGGAUAAUUAGCAAGUCUUGCUUAUCAAUGCAUUCACUUGUCAGUCUUCUCACUACAAACGUAAAAAUUAUCCUCUAUUCGUCCUCAGGACGUUACUGCGCUUAGAGUCAUGAAUUUUACUUUCUUUUACAGGUAAGCGAACCAACGGCCGGCGAAAUUUUACUCUGCUCAAUGUUGGCUGUUCAUGGAAAAUAAACUUUUUACCCUAAAAUAUUGUUGCUCGUUCAUUUCAUGUCAGGAAAUAGAGGCGUAAGAUCCUGUAUUUGUCACUCGGUCUGGUCGAACAUAGCUGUGUCGCCAUCGUGUUGAAAGGAAUCAAAACUGCCAGUACGUCCGUGGUCAGUUUAGGUGCAAGCAUCUUGUCUCGAUAAGAAAGCCACAAAACGAAGUCAUAUUCGUGCCGUUAUAUUAUAAUUAAUCCUUCGGUAUAUGUCGAUAGGAAAAAACGGGUUUUUGUUUUCCGAGCAUUAUUUUCAUAGGUUUGUUAUUUUUCAUCGUUCUCUUGCUCUUUGUGCAAGCGUUCGCUUCCCUCUUCACGGUGGUUAUAUAUAAUUCCUGAUUAAUUGCUUGCGCAAAUGCCAAGACUUCUAGUUGCCAUUUUC
Long non-coding RNA from Tigriopus californicus, 2138 nucleotides. RefSeq lists it as uncharacterized. The record is from RefSeq and is a predicted model, not a curated record. The transcript has 13 exons. NCBI's taxonomy places the organism in Eukaryota, Metazoa, Arthropoda, Copepoda, Harpacticoida, Harpacticidae.